Molecule: ribosomal RNA, 445 nt
Filed under: uncultured bacterium
Lineage: Bacteria
Description: partial 16S ribosomal RNA
Rfam family: Bacterial small subunit ribosomal RNA
Source: RNAcentral
GUGAGGAAUAUUGGUCAAUGGACGGAAGUCUGAACCAGCCAUGCCGCGUGCAGGAAUAAGGUCCUAUGGAUUGUAAACUGCUUUUAUUCGGGAAUAAACCUCUUUACGUGUAGGGAGCUGAAGGUACCGAAGGAAUAAGCACCGGCUAACUCCGUGCCAGCAGCCGCGGUAAUACGGAGGGUGCAAGCGUUAUCCGGAAUCAUUGGGUUUAAAGGGUCUGCAGGCGGGCUAUCAAGUCAGAGGUGAAAUCCCACAGCUUAACUGUGGAACUGCCUUUGAAACUGAUGGUCUUGAAUUAAGUGGGCGUUGGCGGAAUAUGACAUGUAGCGGUGAAAUGCAUAGAUAUGUCAUGGAACACCGAAAGCGAAGGCAGCUAACGAUACUUAUAUUGACGCUCAUGGACGAAAGCGUGGGUAGCGAACAGGAUUAGAUACCCGUGUAGUCC